CCGAGAAGAAGGCGUGUUCUCAAUUCGUGAUUUCACGGGGGUCGGAGAAUUGAACGCCGAACCCCCACUGACGUUUCACGAGAGGUACAAACUGCAAAGCUCAGGGAACGGGAACGCGACCUCAGGUCGCUAGAUCACCUGCUAACUCAUGCUCGUUCAAUUCAUGACGGUGCAAUGGGGUUCGGAGAAUUGAGCUCCGGCCCCCGCGGGACUAGUGUUCCAGGGACCUCCUCAAGCCAUGCUCGUUCAAUUCAUGAUGGUUCAAAAAAAUGCAGAUAGACAGAGUAGCAGCCUAGCAGGUAACCACAUAAACACAGCAUACUGCAGUUUUCUUUUUCAUUUUGCAUUUUGCAUUCUUGCUUUAACAGUGGUGAGUGGUGACAAAUGCAGGUGCUCGACAAAGCGAAUGAUAGUCUGAUACAGCACACACAUGGCUUGCUUGAUGACGCAGUAUCAUAUACUGUAAUUCAUAAGUUGCUAUUGCCAUGC
Molecule: long non-coding RNA, 489 nt
Filed under: Oryza sativa (Asian cultivated rice)
Lineage: Eukaryota; Viridiplantae; Streptophyta; Magnoliopsida; Poales; Poaceae
Description: long non-coding RNA (OSAT_LNC000794)
Source: RNAcentral